GACGAACGCUGGCGGCGUGCUUAACACAUCCCAGUCGAACGGAAAGGCCCCUUUGGGGGUACUCGAGUGGCGAACGGGUGAGUAACACGUGAGUAACCUGCCCUUGACUUCGGGAUAACUUCAGGAAACUGGGGCUAAUACCGGAUAGGAAUCCUUGCUGCAUGGUGGGGGUUGGAAAGCUUCGGCGGUUUUGGAUGGACUCGCGGCUUAUCAGCUUGUUGGUGGGGUAGUGGCUUACCAAGGCUUUGACGGGUAGCCGGCCUGAGAGGGCGACCGGCCACAUUGGGACUGAGAUACGGCCCAGACUCCUACGGGAGGCAGCAGUGGGGAAUAUUGCACAAUGGGCGGAAGUCUGAUGCAGCAACGCCGCGUGCGGGAUGACGGCCUUCGGGUUGUAAACCGCUUUCAGCAGGGGCGAAGCUUGUGGUGACGGUACCUGCAGAAGAAGCACCGGCUAACUACGUG
Molecule: ribosomal RNA, 465 nt
Filed under: uncultured bacterium
Lineage: Bacteria
Description: partial 16S ribosomal RNA
Rfam family: Bacterial small subunit ribosomal RNA
Source: RNAcentral